RNAcentral lists this ribosomal RNA (1307 nucleotides) under uncultured bacterium. RNAcentral's name for it is "partial 16S ribosomal RNA". It matches the Rfam family "Bacterial small subunit ribosomal RNA", at positions 93 to 1401 of the family's 1533-position model. The record is from RNAcentral.
GAGCGGCGGACGGGUGAGUAACGCGUGGGUAACCUGCCCUGUACACACGGAUAACAUACCGAAAGGUAUGCUAAUACGGGAUAACAUAAGAAAUUCGCAUGUUUUUCUUAUCAAAGCUCCGGCGGUACAGGAUGGACCCGCGUCUGAUUAGCUAGUUGGUGAGGUAAUGGCUCACCAAGGCAACGAUCAGUAGCCGACCUGAGAGGUUAACCCCCCACAUUGGUACUGAGACACGGACCAAACUCCUACGGGAGGCAGCAGUGAGGAAUAUUGGUCAAUGGACGCAAGUCUGAACCAGCCAUGCCGCGUGCAGGAAGACGGCUCUAUGAGUUGUAAACUGCUUUUGUACGAGGGUAAACGCUCUUACGUGUAAGAGUCUGAAAGUAUAGUACGAAUAAGGAUCGGCUAACUCCGUGCCAGCAGCCGCGGUAAUACGGAGGAUCCAAGCGUUAUCCGGAUUUAUUGGGUUUAAAGGGUGCGUAGGCGGUUUGAUAAGUUAGAGGUGAAAUACCGGGGCUCAACUCCGGAACUGCCUCUAAUACUGUUGAACUAGAGAGUAGUUGCGGUAGGCGGAAUGUAUGGUGUAGCGGUGAAAUGCUUAGAGAUCAUACAGAACACCGAUUGCGAAGGCAGCUUACCAAACUAUAUCUGACGUUGAGGCACGAAAGCGUGGGGAGCAAACAGGAUUAGAUACCCUGGUAGUCCACGCAGUAAACGAUGAUAACUCGUUGUCGGCGAUACACAGUCGGUGACUAAGCGAAAGCGAUAAGUUAUCCACCUGGGGAGUACGUACGCAAGAAUGAAACUCAAAGGAAUUGACGGGGGCCCGCACAAGCAGUGGAGUAUGUGGUUUAAUUCGAAGCAACGCGAAGAACCUUACCAGGUCUUGACAUCCUUCUGACCACUCCGUAAUGGGAGUCUUCCUUCGGGACAGAAGAGACAGGUGGUGCAUGGUUGUCGUCAGCUCGUGUCGUGAGAUGUUGGGUUAAGUCCCGCAACGAGCGCAACCCCUAUCUUCAGUAGCCAGCAGGUAAGGCUGGGCACUCUGGAGAGACUGCCAGGGAUAACCUGGAGGAAGGUGGGGAUGACGUCAAAUCAUCAUGCCCCUUAUGGCUUGGGCUAUACACGUGCUACAAUGGCGUAAACAAAGGGAAGCGAGCCUGCGAGGGGGAGCAAAUCCCAAAAAUAACGUCUCAGUUCGGAUUGUAGUCUGCAACUCGACUACAUGAAGCUGGAAUCGCUAGUAAUCGCGAAUCAGAAUGUCGCGGUGAAUACGUUCCCGGGUCUUGCACACACCGCCCGUCAAG